Molecule: long non-coding RNA, 221 nt
Filed under: Gossypium raimondii (Peruvian cotton)
Lineage: Eukaryota; Viridiplantae; Streptophyta; Magnoliopsida; Malvales; Malvaceae
Description: long non-coding RNA (GRAI_LNC000124)
Source: RNAcentral
GAAGGUAAGGAAGUAAUUAUAGGAGAGAGCUACAGCGGAUGCGAUUGCAAGUACGGUAAUGAGAUGCAAGAACUCGGCUUUUUAAGGGAAUAAGCUUUGGGGUGGUUCGAGUAUGGAGUUCAGUGAAGGAUUUUUUGAAUAUGAAUUAUGCUUGGAUUUUGGACCCUUUUUGGGUGUUGAAGGCAUUUUCUUUUUUUCUUUUUCUGAAGGUUAGAUCAAUA